GACGAACGCUGGCGGCGUGCUUAACACAUGCAAGUCGAACGGAAAGGCCCUGCUUGCGCGGGGUGCUCGAGUGGCGAACGGGUGAGUAACACGUGAGUAACCUGCCCUGGAGUUUGGGAUAACUUCAGGAAACUGGGGAUAAUACAGGAGAGGAGCUCCUGCUGCAUGGUGGGGGUUGGAAAGUUUCGGCGGUUGGGGAUGGAGUGGCGGGUGACUAGCUGGUUGGUGGGGUAGUGGCUUACGAAGGCAUUGGCGGGUGGCCUGCAUGAGAGGGUGACCGGGGACAAUGGGCCUGCGGUACGCCCCAGAGUGGAACGUGAGGCAGCAGUGGGGAGUAUUGCACAAUGGGCCGAAGCCUGAGGAAACAACGCCGCGUGCGUAAUGACGGCUAUCGGGGUAUAAACCGCUUUAGCCUGAUACCUAGCUGUAGUGACGUUAAUGGGUAAAGAAGCACCGGCUAACUACGUG
Molecule: ribosomal RNA, 468 nt
Filed under: uncultured bacterium
Lineage: Bacteria
Description: partial 16S ribosomal RNA
Rfam family: Bacterial small subunit ribosomal RNA
Source: RNAcentral